AAGGCUUUAGCUUAAUUAAAGUGUCUGUUUUGCAUGCAGAAGAUGUGGGUUAAUAUCCUGCAAGUCUUA
RNAcentral lists this transfer RNA (69 nucleotides) under Heterotilapia buettikoferi. Its description in RNAcentral is "tRNA-Ala". It matches the Rfam family "tRNA". From Rfam's summary of the family: Transfer RNA (tRNA) molecules are approximately 80 nucleotides in length. Their secondary structure includes four short double-helical elements and three loops (D, anti-codon, and T loops). Lineage: Eukaryota; Metazoa; Chordata; Actinopteri; Cichliformes; Cichlidae. The record is from RNAcentral. RNAcentral also lists the same sequence under 1 other name.